Parus major (Great Tit) is the source of this 477-nucleotide long non-coding RNA. RefSeq lists it as uncharacterized. Lineage: Eukaryota; Metazoa; Chordata; Aves; Passeriformes; Paridae. The transcript is spliced from 2 exons. The record is from RefSeq and is a predicted model, not a curated record.
GGCGAGGAUCCUGUGCCCUGAUUCUGCUUCCUGCUUUCGUUCCUUAGUGAGGAUGCCCAGCGGGCUGCCACAGCCAGUGGAGACAACAAAGACAUCCCCAAGCCAGGGCUGGCCAGAGAAAUUGAUAAGGAGAUGGAGGCAACGUGAAAAUUUGCCGUGACCUUCCCAUUUUAAAAGACUAACGAGUGGUUGGUUUUGCAUGGUGACCCACCUUUUAGGGCCUUUGGGAAGCAUUUUCAAGUGGCCAGAUACACAGAACACCCACAUAAGUCUGCAAGAUACAAUACAGGAGCAAAAAAACAGGAACAAAAGAAAGACCCCAAAUCCUCCGAGAUGGCAGGGUAGCCACUCCCUCAGAAAACCUAAAUUCCCAGGAAAGGAGUGUAGAUGACAAGAAAGUGAUCAACCAAGCAACUGACUUUGGAACAAGUCAUGUGUAUUAAGAUUGCAAACAAAAAUAAAAUCUCAGAACUUAAA